CAGCCAAUGACUUAAAACAUUUAAGUGCAUAUAUCUUGCCACAAGACAUGUGCGCUAAGCUAGCCAAAUGAGUUUCUGUUAGCGAAUCAAGUUCAAGCUCCUCACAUAUCAUCAUCCAGGGUACAGUCAUAUGCUCAUGAGGAGAUCCCACGCAGGUGAAGGUGCUGCCCACCCAUGAUACCAGCAAGGUGCGUGCAAGUGGAUCCGGCCUUAACACCACUGGAGCGCCCACCUCUCUGCCAGUGAAGGUCACCAUUGAUGCCAAAGAUGCAGGACCCAGAGGGGAAGCCCAAGAAGCAGAUAUCUGUGACAGCCAUGAUGGGACCUACCUGGUGUUUUAUGUGCCAGACAUGACUGACAGAUACACCACUCUCAUUAAGUACGGAGGAGACAAGAUCCCUUAUUCACCCUACUGAAUCAGGGCUCUGCCCACCGGAGAUGCCAGCAAGUGCACUGUCACUGAAUGUUGUCCAGUGGCCAGCUGCUCGGUCCAUCCAGACUCCCCUCGAUAUACAACAGUG
Non-coding RNA from Maylandia zebra (zebra mbuna), 521 nucleotides. The record is from RefSeq and is a predicted model, not a curated record. NCBI's taxonomy places the organism in Eukaryota, Metazoa, Chordata, Actinopteri, Cichliformes, Cichlidae.